AUUGUCUCAAAGAUUAAGCCAUGCAUGUCUAAGUAUAAAUAGUAUACAGUGAAACUGCGAAUGGCUCAUUAAAACAGUUAUAGUUUAUUUGAUAAUUGACAAUUACAUGGAUAACCGUGGUAAUUCUAGAGCUAAUACAUGCUUAAACGCCCGACUUUAUGGAAGGGUGGUAUUUAUUAGACUGAAGCCAAUAUUCCUUGUGUCUAUUGCGGUGAUUCAUAAUAACUGAUCGAAUCUCUUUUUGAGAUAAAUCAUUCAAGUUUCUGCCCUAUCAGCUUUCGAUGGUAGUGUAUUGGACUACCAUGCAGUAACGGGUAACGAAGAAUUAGGGUUCGAUUUCGGAGAGGGAGCAUGAGAAACGGCUACCACAUCUAAGGAAGGCAGCAGGCGCGUAAAUUACCCAAUCCUGACUCAGGGAGGUAGUGACAAGAAAUAGCAAACCGGGAACCUCAUGGUUUCACGGUAUUGCAAUGAGAACAAUUUAAAACCCUUAGCAGAAUCAAGUGGAGGACAAGUCUGGUGCCAGCACCCGCGGUAAUUCCAGCUCCACUAGCGUAUAUUAAAGUUGUUGCAGUUAAAAAGCUCGUAGUUGAACCUCUGUCUGGGGCUAGUUUUGGCUUUGGUCAGGCCAGUUCUAGGCAUCCGCCUACAAGACUUAGAGGGCAUUCAGUUGUUCACUAGGAGGAGUAGGCAUUUUACUUUGAAAAAAUUAGAGUGUUUAAGGCAGGCAAUCGCCCGCAUAUAUUAGCAUGGAAUAAUAGAAUAGGACACUUUUCCAUUUCGUUGGUUAUUGGAAUCGUGUAAUGAUUAAUAGGGACAGUUGUGGGCAUUUGUAUUCAAUUGUCAGAGGUGAAAUUCUUGGAUUUAUUAAAGACAAACUAACGCGAAAGCAUUUGCCAAGGAUGUUUUCAUUAAUCAAGGACGAAAGUUAGGGGAUCAAAGACGAUCAGAUACCGUCCUAGUCUUAACUAUAAACUAUUCCGACUCAAUGUUUGACUGGCUUAUAUAACCAGUUGAGCGUUGUAUGAGAAAUCAAAGUCUUUAGGUUCUGGGGGGAGUAUGGUUGCAAAGCUGAAACUUAAAGGAAUUGACGGAAGAGCACAACCAGGAGUGGAUUCUGCGGCUUAAUUUGACUCAACACGGGGAAACUUACCAGGUUAAAACAAUAGUGGGAUUGACAGUUUGAGAGCGCUUUCUUGAUUGGUUGGGUGGUGGUGCAUGGCCGUUCUUAGUUGGUGGAGUGAUUUGUCCGCUUAAUUGCGUUAACGAACGAGACCUUAACCUGCUUACUAGACU
Molecule: ribosomal RNA, 1296 nt
Filed under: metagenome
Description: SSU rRNA
Rfam family: Eukaryotic small subunit ribosomal RNA
Source: RNAcentral